GGGAGGAGCCCAAACCGGGUUGGUCACGGCCAAUCCGGGGUUGUAGGGCCGCGACAUCUGAUUGAAUCGAGGUAGCUGAACUGCUUGGGAAAGCAGGCCAUAGACGGUGAGAGCCCGGUAAGCGACACUUCUGAUUCACGGUAGCGGUACCCUGAGUAGGGCGGGGCCGGAGAAACCCCGUCUGAAGCGAGCGGCACCAUCCGCUAAGGCUACAUACUCCUGAGACACCGAUAGUGAACUAGUACCGUGAGGGAAAGGUGAAAAGAACCGGGAAUACCGGAGUGAAAAGAACCUGAAACCGUGUGCUUACAAGCAGUCAGAGGGCUUUUGUGGCCUGAUGGCGUGCCUUUUGCAUAAUGAGCCUACGAGUUACUCCUCCCCGGCAAGGUUAAGCGCUUGAAGGCGCGGAGCCGCAGCGAAAGCGAGUCUGAACAGGGCGCGCAGUCGGGGGGGGUAGACGCGAAACUUUGUGAGCUACCCUUGAGCAGGUUGAAGGUGCGGUAACACGCACUGGAGGACCGAACCGGUGCCUGUUGAAAAAGUCUCGGAUGACUUGUGGCUAGGGGUGAAAGGCCAAUCAAACUGAGAAAUAGCUCGUACUCCCCGAAAUGUAUUGAGGUACAGCGUCGGCGUCGAGGUCAGUGGAGGUAGAGCUACCGAUAGGACUAGGGGGUGUCAGAGCCUACCGAAUCCUGACGAACUCCGAAUGCCACUGGCUAUAGCCGGCAGUGAGGCCUGGGGUGCUA
Molecule: ribosomal RNA, 746 nt
Filed under: uncultured eukaryote
Lineage: Eukaryota
Description: partial Bacterial large subunit ribosomal RNA
Rfam family: Bacterial large subunit ribosomal RNA
Source: RNAcentral